GAAGUAAAAGUCGUAACAAGGUCUCCGUUGGUGAACCAGCGGAGGGAUCAUUACCGAGUUUACAACUCCCCAAACCCCUGUGAACAUACCUUAAUGUUGCCUCGGCGGAUCAGCCCGCGCCCCGUAAAACGGGACGGCCCGCCAGAGGACCCAAACUCUAAUGUUUCUUAUUGUAACUUCUGAGUAAAACAAACAAAUAAAUCAAAACUUUCAACAACGGAUCUCUUGGUUCUGGCAUCGAUGAAGAACGCAGCAAAAUGCGAUAAGUAAUGUGAAUUGCAGAAUUCAGUGAAUCAUCGAAUCUUUGAACGCACAUUGCGCCCGCUGGUAUUCCGGCGGGCAUGCCUGUUCGAGCGUCAUUUCAACCCUCAAGCCCCCGGGUUUGGUGUUGGGGAUCGGCUCUGCCUUCUGGCGGUGCCGCCCCCGAAAUACAUUGGCGGUCUCGCUGCAGCCUCCAUUGCGUAGUAGCUAACACCUCGCAACUGGAACGCGGCGCGGCCAUGCCGUAAAACCCCAACUUCUGAAUGUUGACCUCGGAUCAGGUAGGAAUACCCGCUGAACUUAAGCAUAUCA
Molecule: ribosomal RNA, 573 nt
Filed under: Fusarium sp.
Lineage: Eukaryota; Fungi; Ascomycota; Sordariomycetes; Hypocreales; Nectriaceae
Description: eukaryotic LSU rRNA
Rfam family: 5.8S ribosomal RNA (bases 206-359)
Source: RNAcentral